Benincasa hispida (wax gourd) is the source of this 579-nucleotide long non-coding RNA. RefSeq lists it as uncharacterized. The record is from RefSeq and is a predicted model, not a curated record. Lineage: Eukaryota; Viridiplantae; Streptophyta; Magnoliopsida; Cucurbitales; Cucurbitaceae.
UUUUUUUAAAAAAAGUCGGAAAUGGUCCUGCACCUGGUGGGAAUGAGAGAAAAUAUCUCUCGCUGGAUGGGAAUGGAGAGUCGCUAUCCUGCCCAACCCUGUUGCCAACCCUAGAAGCCACACCAAACAAGUCUGUUUUAUAAAAAAAAUAUAUGAAAUUUUUUUAAACCUACGAUUCUGUUGGAGGAAAAGGAGAGAAGAGAAAGGGAAAUGAACAGAGAAAGAAGGAAGGGAGAUGACAAGGUGAAGUGGUCGUCAGAAAUGUCGUGGUCGUGCCGGAAGGUGCUGGAAAAGCGAAGAUUACUUCCAAAAGAAGGGAUUGGAGAGAUCGAUAGGCGAAUGGAAGAUCAGAAUGACGAAUUAUGACUCGAGAUUCUUGCAAAAAGUAGACUUCAUACUGGUUUAUUUUUACUAAAUACUUUUGUUACUUUAUUUAGCACGUAUUAUGAAGUUUCAAGAAAGCUACUUAUGUACAAUUAUGUAUGAUUUUUGUGAAGCUAUGAAGUUCUAUAAACUAGCUAUGGAGUUUGAAAAAUAUCAUGAUUUUAGUAUAAAUUGUGGUUUCGGAAUUUUUUGACA